GAUGAACGCUGGCGGCGUGCCUAAUACAUGCAAGUCGAGCGAACAGACGAUGAUCUUGCUCCUCUGACGUUAGCGUCGGACGGGUGAGUAACACGUGUAUAACCUACCUAUAAUACUUGGAUAACUUCGGGAAACCGGAUCUAAUACCGGAUAAUAUCUUUAACCUCCUUGUUCAAUAGUUAAAUACGUUUUUGCUUUCUCUUAUAGAUUGAUCCGCGCCGCAUUAGCUAGUUGGUAAGGUAACGGCUUACCAAGGCAACGAUGGGUAUCCGACCUGAGAGGGUGAUCGGACAAACUGGAACUGAGACACGGUACAGACGACUACGGGAGGAAGCAGUAGGGAAUAUUCCGCAAUGGGCGAAAGCAUGAAGGAGCAAAGCCGAGUGAGUGAUGAAGGUCUUCGGAUCGUAAAAAUCUGUUAUUAGGGAAGAAAAAAUGUGUAAGUAACUAUGCACGUCAUGACGGUACCGAAUCAGAAAGCAACGGCUAACUACGUG
Molecule: ribosomal RNA, 497 nt
Filed under: uncultured bacterium
Lineage: Bacteria
Description: partial 16S ribosomal RNA
Rfam family: Bacterial small subunit ribosomal RNA
Source: RNAcentral